This 497-nucleotide ribosomal RNA is filed under the name uncultured bacterium. RNAcentral describes it as "partial 16S ribosomal RNA". It matches the Rfam family "Bacterial small subunit ribosomal RNA", at positions 28 to 507 of the family's 1533-position model. The record is from RNAcentral.
GAUGAACGCUGGCGGCGUGCCUAAUACAUGCAAGUCGAGCGAACAGACGAGGAGCUUGCUCCUUUGACGUUAGCGGCGGACGGGUGAGUAACACGUAGGUAACCUACCUAUAAGACUGGGAUAACUUCGGGAAACCGGAGCUAAUACCGGAUAAUAUUUCGAACCGCAUGGUUCGAUAGUGAAAGAUGGCUUUGCUAUCACUUAUAGAUGGACCUGCGCCGUAUUAGCUAGUUGGUAAGGUAACGGCUUACCAAGGCAACGAUACGUAGCCGACCUGAGAGGGUGAUCGGCCAUACUGGAACUGAGACACGGUCCAGACUCCUACGGGAGGCAGCAGUAGGGAAUCUUCCGCAAUGGGCGAAAGCCUGACGGAGCAACGCCGCGUGAGUGAUGAAGGUCUUCGGAUCGUAAAACUCUGUUAUUAGGGAAGAACAAACGUGUAAGUAACUGUGCACGUCUUGACGGUACCUAAUCAGAAAGCCACGGCUAACUACGUG